GCGUACUAUUAGAUAGUUGGCGGGGUAACGGCCCACCAAGUCAUUGAUAGUUAGCUGGUCUGAGAGGAUGAUCAGCCACACUGGGACUGAGAUACGGCCCAGACUCCUACGGGAGGCAGCAGUGAGGAAUAUUGCACAAUGGGGGCAACCCUGAUGCAGCAACGCCGCGUGAGUGAUGAAGCAGUUUAUCUGUGUAAAGCUCUGUUGGGAGGGACGAAUUGUAGGGUUAGUUGCCUUACUUGACGGUACCUCCUGAGGAAGCUCCGGCUAACUCCGUGCCAGCAGCCGCGGUAAUACGGGGGGAGCGAGCGUUGUCCAGAUUUAUUGGGCGUAAAGGGCAUGUAGGUGGUCUUUUAAGUCAGUUGUUAAAACUAUCGGCUUAACCGGUAAUUGCAAUUGAUACUGGAAGACUUGAAUCUGAGAGGGGAUAGUGGAAUAUCAGGUGUAGCGGUGGAAUGCGUAGAUAUUUGAUAGAACACCUGAGGUGAAGACGACUAUCUGGUUCAUGAUUGACACUGAAAUGCGAAAGUAUGGGGAGCAAACAGGAUUAGAUACCCUGGUAGUCCAUACCGUAAACGAUAAAACUAGGUGUCUGGGGACUUAACCCCCUGGGCGCCGUAGCUAACGCGUUAA
Molecule: ribosomal RNA, 633 nt
Filed under: uncultured bacterium
Lineage: Bacteria
Description: bacterial SSU rRNA
Rfam family: Bacterial small subunit ribosomal RNA
Source: RNAcentral